Molecule: unclassified non-coding RNA, 352 nt
Filed under: soil metagenome
Description: partial contains 5.8S ribosomal RNA, internal transcribed spacer 2, and large subunit ribosomal RNA
Rfam family: 5.8S ribosomal RNA (bases 1-121)
Source: RNAcentral
GAUGAAGAACGUAGUGAAAUGCGAUAAGUAAUGCGAAUUGCAGAAUUUCCGUGAGUCAUCGAAUCUUUGAACGCACAUUGCGCCCACUGGUAUUCCGGUGGGCAUGCCUGUUCGAGCGUCAUUAUCCUCCCUCAAAACUCCUGUUUUGGUGUCGGGCCGCGUUGGUCACCUCCGACCAACGGGCCUCAAAGACAAUGACGGCGUCCGUGGGACCCUCUUCGCAGUGAGCUUUUGUUAGCGCGCGUUGAGUUUAAAGGACCUUCCGGGCCGGCCACCUUUAUCUAUUUUACAAGGUUGACCUCGGAUCAGGUAGGAAUACCCGCUGAACUUAAGCAUAUCAAUAAGCGGAGGA